AAAUUGAAGAGUUUGAUCAUGGCUCAGAUUGAACGCUGGCGGCAGGCCUAACACAUGCAAGUCGAACGGUAACAGGAAGCGCUUGCUGCUUCGCUGACGAGUGGCGGACGGGUGAGUAAUGUCUGGGAAACUGCCUGAUGGAGGGGGAUAACUACUGGAAACGGUAGCUAAUACCGCAUAACGUCGCAAGACCAAAGAGGGGGACCUUCGGGCCUCUUGCCAUCGGAUGUGCCCAGAUGGGAUUAGCUUGUUGGUGGGGUAACGGCUCACCAAGGCGACGAUCCCUAG
RNAcentral lists this ribosomal RNA (288 nucleotides) under Escherichia coli. Its description in RNAcentral is "partial 16S ribosomal RNA". It matches the Rfam family "Bacterial small subunit ribosomal RNA", at positions 1 to 286 of the family's 1533-position model. The record is from RNAcentral. Lineage: Bacteria; Pseudomonadati; Pseudomonadota; Gammaproteobacteria; Enterobacterales; Enterobacteriaceae. RNAcentral also lists the same sequence under 1 other name.